RNAcentral lists this ribosomal RNA (497 nucleotides) under uncultured bacterium. RNAcentral's name for it is "partial 16S ribosomal RNA". It matches the Rfam family "Bacterial small subunit ribosomal RNA", at positions 28 to 507 of the family's 1533-position model. The record is from RNAcentral.
GAUGAACGCUGGCGGCGUGCCUAAUACAUGCAAGUCGAGCGAACGGACGAGAAGCUUGCUUCUCUGAUGUUAGCGGCGGACGGGUGAGUAGCACGUGGAUAACCUACCUAUAAGACUGGGAUAACUUCGGGAAACCGUAGCUAAUACCGGAUAAUAUUUUGAACCGCAUGGUUCAAAAGUGAAAGACGGCCUUGCUGUCACUUAUAGAUGGAUCCGCGCUGCAUUAGCUAGUUGGUAAGGUAACGGCUUACCAAGGCAACGAUGCAUAGCCGACCUGAGAGGGUGAUCGGCCACACUGGAACUGAGACACGGUCCAGACUCCUACGGGAGGCAGCAGUAGGGAAUCUUCCGCAAUGGGCGAAAGCCUGACGGAGCAACGCCGCGUGAGUGAUGAAGGUCUUCGGAUCGUAAAACUCUGUUAUUAGGGAAGAACAUAUGUGUAAGUAACUGUGCACAUCUUGACGGUACCUAAUCAGAAAGCCACGGCUAACUACGUG